GAUCAACUCCGGUUGAUCCUGCCGGCGGGCACCGCUAUGGGAGUUCGCUUAAGACAUGCGAGUCGAGAGGUGUAAGACCUCGGCAGACGGCUCAGUAACACGCGGACAAUCUGACCUCGGGUGGGGAAUACUCUCGGGAAACUGAGGAUAAUGCCCCAUAGGUCUGGGAUGCUGGAACGCUUCCAGGCUCAAAGCUCCGGCGCCCGAGGAUGGGUCUGCGGCCUAUCAGCUCGUAGGGGGCUUUACAGACCCCCUAGGCUUCGACGGGUACGGGCUAUGGGAGUAGUCGCCCGGAGAUGGAUUCUGAGACACGAAUCCAGGCCCUAC
This 327-nucleotide ribosomal RNA is filed under the name Euryarchaeota archaeon RBG_19FT_COMBO_69_17. RNAcentral describes it as "bacterial SSU rRNA". It matches the Rfam family "Archaeal small subunit ribosomal RNA", at positions 1 to 326 of the family's 1478-position model. Lineage: Archaea; Methanobacteriati; Methanobacteriota. The record is from RNAcentral.